AUUCAGUUGAUGAUUCGCAGAUAAGACGAAACGCGCGUCCUCGAU
This is a non-coding RNA of Schistosoma margrebowiei, 45 nucleotides long. NCBI's taxonomy places the organism in Eukaryota, Metazoa, Platyhelminthes, Trematoda, Strigeidida, Schistosomatidae. The record is from Rfam.